CUCUGACGCAAUCUGGACGCUAAAGGCAGUCAAUGCUGACUUCUAUUUUAUUAUCCUUCAGGCGCUGUGAGAGGUCAGCGGACCUUCAACGUUCCCUACAGGCUCCGUCGGGUCAGAUUUGUUUCUCAGGAAUGAUUUUAAUUCGUCCGGUUCUGCUCACAGAGUUCAGUCCGAGUGUCUUUCACACCUGGGCGUUGAUGCUCGGGCAUCUGGACCCCCGCGGCGCGGCGCCUGGCAUGGCUGCAGAGUCCGAGGGAAACGUGUCAUCGGCUCACAGGCGACGGGGGACGAAGCAGAGCGCCAGAGAGCUGAUUAUACCCAGAAAUGAUUUUUCUUCAGCGUCCCGAACUCGUCGUCGUCCUUUUGGUAGAAUUUCCACGCAGAAACGGAACCGUCAGAGAGAAAACCUAAAAGCUCGUCCUGAUCCACCUGGAUGAUGAAACCUGAAGGCAUCGGUGCGGCUCAGGUGUGUUGCCAUGGUAGCAGCCCUGACCGUCAUCCUUUGGUUCCAGCAUCAUCAGAAAACAUUUUUUGUUUUUCCUGCUGAACCAUCCAGCUGGUUUCUCCUGGAGGUUUUUCCGUUUGAGGUCAGGCUCGUCCUUCUCCUCUGAGGACGACACAGAACAACAAACGACAGCCUGAAGGCGCCGCGGUGACAUCAGAGGACGAGCCGGCUGUCAGGAGACACGCGGGACCAUGUUGGGGACACGAUCCGGUGCCGUCUCACUGCUCCUCCAGACAGCUGCUGCUCUCUCCGUCUCGCUCCGGCUCUUUUGUCAUCGGACCGGUGUUUCAGCGUGGCUCCUGCGUUUCGCUGAACUGCUGCUCCUCCUGACCUCCUGUGUCUGUUUUGACAGCUUCCUCAUGUCUUGAUUCAUCGAUGACUCUGCGGUGCUCAGCCGCCUGGCUGAUCCGGUUCAUACCGUUGAAACCACAUAUUUACACACCAAUUUUUAUAUAUAUUCCAACUAAAUUUAAAUUGUGUCCCAAGUUUUUGUCAACACCGUCAGACAUUAAAAACAAUGUAAAAAAAAAAUCUGCCUUUAUUGGGGGGCAUCAGAAAUGCUUUCUGUGUCUUCCUUUGCUGGAGGGCGAGGCAUCUCUGGUUAGCUUCGGUUAGCUCUGGUUAGCUUUGGUUAGGUCUGGUUAGCUUUGGUUAGGUCUGGUUAGCUUCGG
Molecule: long non-coding RNA, 1176 nt
Organism: Poecilia reticulata (guppy)
Lineage: Eukaryota; Metazoa; Chordata; Actinopteri; Cyprinodontiformes; Poeciliidae
Source: RefSeq, a predicted model, not a curated record